AAAUAGCGGAGGAAAAGAAACCAACAGGGAUUGCCUCAGUAACGGCGAGUGAAGCGGCAAAAGCUCAAAUUUGAAAUCUAGCACCUUCAGUGUUCGAGUUGUAAUUUGAAGAAGGUAACUUUGGUUUUGGCUCUUGUCUAUGUUCCUUGGAACAGGACGUCACAGAGGGUGAGAAUCCCGUGCGAUGAGAUGCCCAAUUCCAUGUAAAGUGCUUUCGAAGAGUCGAGUUGUUUGGGAAUGCAGCUCUAAGUGGGUGGUAAAUUCCAUCUAAAGCUAAAUAUUGGCGAGAGACCGAUAGCGAACAAGUACAGUGAUGGAAAGAUGAAAAGAACUUUGAAAAGAGAGUGAAAAAGUACGUGAAAUUGUUGAAAGGGAAGGGCUUGAGAUCAGACUUGGUAUUUUGCGUUCCCUUCCUUUUUGGUUGGGUUCCUCGCAGUUUACUGGGCCAGCAUCGGUUUGGAUGGUAGGAUAAUGACAUUGGAAUGUAGCUUUACUUCGGUGAAGUGUUAUAGACUUUGUUGAUACUGCCUAUCUAGACCGAGGACUGCGUCUUUGACUAGGAUGCUGGCGUAAUGAUCUUAAGCCGCCCGUCUUGAAACACGGAC
This 605-nucleotide ribosomal RNA is filed under the name Dujonia zeylanoides. Its description in RNAcentral is "[Candida] zeylanoides partial large subunit ribosomal RNA". It matches the Rfam family "Eukaryotic large subunit ribosomal RNA", at positions 45 to 666 of the family's 3401-position model. Lineage: Eukaryota; Fungi; Ascomycota; Pichiomycetes; Serinales; Debaryomycetaceae. The record is from RNAcentral.